This 5835-nucleotide unclassified non-coding RNA is filed under the name Mizuhopecten yessoensis (Yesso scallop). RNAcentral describes it as "structural maintenance of chromosomes protein 3-like, transcript variant X1". Lineage: Eukaryota; Metazoa; Mollusca; Bivalvia; Pectinida; Pectinidae. The record is from RNAcentral.
AAUCUAUUUGCCGCCAUUUGCAAUUUGUAAACAAAAACUUCGUCCUUUCUUUUCUGUUUUCUUGCAGAGUGCGUCGAUAUGAUACUUUAUUAACCAAAAACUGAUAAUGUAUAUCAAACAGGUUAUUAUUCAAGGUUUCAGAAGUUACAGGGACCAGACUGUGGUGGAACCUUUCAGUCCUAAGCACAAUGUCAUCGUUGGCAGAAAUGGAUCAGGGAAAAGUAACUUCUUUUAUGCCAUCCAGUUUGUACUGUCAGAUGAGUUUAGUCACCUGAGACCUGAGCAGAGACAGGCAUUGCUGCAUGAGGGUACUGGUCCUCGGGUCAUCUCUGCUUUUGUGGAAAUAAUUUUUGACAACAGUGACAACCGAAUACCUAUUGAAAAGGAUGAAGUUGUACUACGACGUGUCAUCGGGUCUAAGAAAGAUCAGUAUUUUCUUGACAAGAAGAUGGUCACUAAAGGUGAUGUUAUGAAUCUCCUAGAAAGUGCUGGGUUUUCCCGUAGUAAUCCUUACUACAUUGUGAAACAAGGAAAGAUAAACCAAAUGGCAACAGCUCCCGAUUCUCAACGAUUAAAGCUUUUACGUGAAGUGGCAGGUACUAAGGUUUAUGAUGAAAGGAAAGAGGAGAGUAAAGUCAUUCUUCGAGAAUCAGAGGGAAAGAGAGAGAAAAUUAACGAUCUGCUGAAGUAUAUUGAGGAAAGAUUGGCAACCCUUGAGGAAGAGAAGGAAGAACUGAAAGAAUACCAAAAAUGGGACAAAAUGAGGAGGUCCCUGGAAUACACCAUACAUGACCAUGAGUUGAGGGAUACAAGAAAAAAGCUGGAUGAUCUUCAAGAUAAACGAGAAACAAGUGGUGUACAGACACAAAAAUUACGUGACUCCCAGCAAAAUGCCAACGACAAAGUGAAGGCUAUCAAUAAAGAUCUUCGAGAACUGAAGACAAGGAUGCAGACCAUUUUAGAUGAAAAAGAACAAAUUGCAUCAGAAAAUCAAGAUCUGACCAAGAGGAAAGCAAAGUUUGAGCUGAAUAUUAAGGAUAUCCUAGAUGAUCUAGAAGGUGACAAAAAAGCCAGGAAAAAAACAGAAGAGGAGCAGAAGAAAGUGAAUGAAAGAAUUGCUAAAACACAGGCUUCCUUGGAAGCCAUAACCCCCCAGUAUGAGGCUCAGCAGAGUCGGGAAGAGAACUGCACUCAGCAGCUAUCUUUGGCUGAACAGAGGCGGAAAGAACUUUAUGCUAAGCAGGGGCGAGGAAACCAAUUCACGUCGAGGGAUGAACGAGACAAUUGGAUAAAGAAGGAGCUCAAGUCACUGAACAGAGCAAUUAAAGACAAGGAGGAACAGAUUCGAAGAUUGCGAGAAGAUUUGACUAAUGAUACAAAAAGAGCUGAACAUUUAAAAGUCAACAUACAGGACAUAGGUAGCAAGACUGACCAGAACAAGGAUAUCAUAGACCAGAACCAGAGAAGUUCAUCAGACAUGAAGAAAGAGAAGGAAACCAUCCACAAUGAUAGAAAUGCUAUGUGGAGACAGGAAAACAUCAUGCAGCAGGAGUUGGUCGGUAUCCGUGAGGAGCUCAGUAAAAAAGAACAGGCUCUACGUUCAAUGACGGGCAAAGCAAUUUUGAAUGGAAUAGAUAGUGUCCAAAAAGUGAUACAAUCUUUCCGAGACCAGCGGAAAUUUCCUGAGGUGUGUGAUGGCUACCUGGGUAUAAUGAUCGAGAACCUGGACUGUGAAAAAGCUUUCUUCACGUGUGUGGAGGUCACGGCGGGCAGCAGAUUAUUUCAUCACAUAGUUGACACGGACAGAACUGGCACAAAGAUUUUGGCCGAGAUGAACCGGCUCCGGCUACCAGGAGAGGUAACCUUUAUGCCACUCAACAGACUGGAUGCCCGUGACACCCCCUACCCCAACAUAAGUGAUGCCAUCCCAAUGAUCAGCAAGCUCAAUUAUGAUCAGCAAUUUGCUCGUGCAAUAAAACAUGUCUUUGGUAAAACCCUGAUUUGUCGGAACAUUGAGACUGCAACCCAGAUAGCUCGCACACAGAAUCUGGAUUGUAUAACUCUGGAUGGUGACCAGGUGAGUCGAAGAGGUGCUCUAACUGGUGGUUUCUAUGACACAAGGCGAUCUAGACUUGAUCUGCAGAAGAGCAAGCUUGAAUUACAACAGAAACUUGAUACACAGGAAAAGGAAUAUGCAUCUCACAAGUCCAAACUGGAGGUCCUGGAAGCGAAGAUCAACAACCUUGUUAGUGAGAUGCAGAAAACGGAAACAAAAAACAGCAAAAACAAAGACACAUUUGACAAGAUGAGAGCAGAUCUAAGGUUAAUGACAGAAGAAUUGCAAUCCAUUGAGAGAUCCAGGUCCCCCAAGGAAAAGAGUGUAGCCAGUUUACAGACGAGUUUGGAGGCAAUGCAGGGCUCAGCAGCCUCCCUCAAUGAAGAGCUAGGCUCAGAUCUUCUGUCUCAGCUGAGUGUGGAGGACCAGCGCGAGGUGGACUACCUCAAUGAUCAGAUCAAACAGCUAACCCAGCAGAACAAAGAGGCCCUUACAGAGCGUAUACGGCUAGAAGGUGAGAAGAACAAACUAGAGAAUCUCCUCCACAACAAUCUAAUGAAAAAACGAGACCGGAUAAUCCACGAGUUACAGGAAGUAUCGGAAGAAGAACGGCGGGCCAGACUUGAAACCUUCAAUUCAGACCUUGCCACUGCUGAUGAUAGGAUUGUGUAUCUCAAAAAGCAAUCCAAAGAACUGGAUGACCAACUAGAUAAGAUGAAUAAAGAGCAAAAGAAUUUACAGAACAAUUUGGAAUAUUGGAAGGGGCAGGAAAAAGAUAAUAAUGACAAAAUCAGUGAUGAUGCAAAAGAGCUGGAAAAGAUGACGAACAAGCAAUCUUUGUUAUUGAAAAAGAAAGAUGAAUGCAUGCGGAAAAUUCGAGAACUUGGAUCAUUACCUAGUGAUGCUUUUGAAAAGUACCAGAAUUUAAGUUUAAAACAGUUAUUUAAAAAACUAGAACAGUGUAAUCAUGAACUGAAGAAAUAUAGUCAUGUCAACAAGAAAGCCCUGGACCAGUUUGUAAACUUCUCCGACCAGAAAGAGAAGCUGAUAAAAAGGAAAGAUGAACUAGACAGAGGCCAUGAGUCCAUCUUAGAUCUGAUGAAUGCAUUGGACCACAGGAAGUAUGAAGCCAUUCAGUUGACAUUCAAACAGGUUUCCAAGUAUUUCAGUGAGAUAUUCAAGAAACUUGCUCCUCAGGGACAUGCUGUGCUGGUGAUGAAGAAAGGCGACCAUGAACAGAAUGGUGAAGAUGAUGAUUCCCCACAAGCAGAUGUUCCAUUGGUAGAACAGUUUACAGGUGUUGGCAUCAAGGUAUCGUUCACAGGAAACAGGGCAGAGAUGAAGGACAUGUUACAGCUGUCUGGAGGACAAAAGUCACUAGUGGCACUCACACUUAUAUUCGCCAUUCAGAAAUGUGACCCCGCCCCCUUCUACCUAUUUGACGAGAUCGAUCAAGCAUUAGACGCACAGCACAGGAAAGCUGUAGCAGAUAUGAUCCAUGAACUGGCUGGGGAUGCUCAGUUUAUCACCACUACGUUCCGGCCAGAACUCCUUCAGCAUGCCGACAAAUUCUAUGGUGUCAAGUUCAGAAACAAGGUGAGUCAUAUUGAGUGUGUGAGCCGUGAGGAGGCCGAGGACUUCGUAGAAGAUGACACCACACAUGGAUGAGGAGAGAGUGUAGGUCUAGAUGGACAAGCAACUCCUUCAGGCAUCCUGGUCUGGAAACACAUUCAGCAAUAACAACUGUGUGGUACCUACCAGGAACUUCUCUACAAAAGGCAGCAUUUGUUUGUUAGAGUUAAAUGUGGUAUCUGUGUUCAGGUGACAUCAGCUGGCCCAGAGUGGCAUCUGUUUGUUCAGGUGACAUCAGCUGGCCCAGAGUGGCAUCUGUUUCAGCUGGCCCAGGGAGGCAUCUGUUUGUUCAGGGUGACAUCGGCAGUAACAUCUACAUCUUAAGGUAGAAAUGCCAUGUAACUCGUACUUAUUGCAGCACUUGACAUAAUUACGCAACAUCACAAACAAAAUCUUGGAACCAUGACAGUCUAAUGUCGUACAAGGAAAUUUGACUAGUUUAUUCAAUUAUGCACACAAAAAAAGUUCAAAUGUUUAAUUUAUGCUGUUAAGAAAUUGAAUGCUGAGGUACAUGUGCGAUACUCGUUCAAUAGUGUUCGAUCAUGGAUAUUUUCUAAAAAGAUAAAUACUAUUGAUACAUUGUGAUGGACAAUGUUUAUGUUUAAAGUCAAUAUUAUAGAUUGUUAAUGUUUGGUUUAAACAUCUUACUGGUGUUAAAAGAUAAAAAGCUUUAUGAAAGUCUAGGAAUAUGUAAUGUGCUAUUUUAAAAAGGGAAGUUCAGAUCAUGUUUGGUGUACAUUUUUUAAUUGACAAUUAUUAAGGUUGCCAUCUCAUUAAUCAUAAAAUCAUUUAUAGUAUGUAUUGGUAGGAUUGCAGAGAGAGAGGGGGGCAUACAGAGAGAGAGAGAAGGGGGGGGGGUUGAUUCAUACACAAAUGGGCGAUACAUACACAGAGAGAGAGAGACGUACACAGUUAACCCCGUAGUGAGAGAGAAGGAUGCAGUUUGAGAGAGUAAAUUAUAGGAUGUUUUUCCCUUUUUCAUUGUUGUCAUUCAUCGUAUGAACGUCAUGGCUACAUCUUGUGUGUUAAGGACAACACAUCUGACAAGUAUGAUAUAGUUAUAAAGAACUGAUAACACAAUAGGGAAGGACCAAUAAUCUUGCAACAAUGCAACCCUUUUUUAAUGCGAGCAUCUUAAUUUGGUACAAAUACAUGCUGAAAUGUAUUAUAAUAUUAUUUGGGAGGGAUGUGAAGUGGUCUCCGAGAAGGUCUGCUGAAAAUAAAUCUUGAUUCACAAUUAAAUGCGUUAAUAGCUACUGCUGUAUUGGGUGAUCUUUGUAAAGAUGGUGAUUUAGGCCAGUAGAAGUAUUAGGAAGUUUUCUAGAAAGCUAUGGAUGAGGGAUUGGGUGGGGAGGAUGCACCUAACUUGCACCAAAACACAAGUUAAAGUGUGAUGUCCCUCCAGUUUGACACUUUUAUGUGAUCUUCAGUAUCAUACACCAUCUAGAAGGAAGGUUUAAUGUACAGGUGUCUCUUCUUUUAGAAGGUACAGAGUUAUAAAUUAUUUGUCCUCAUGUGGGAGGAUUUAACAUAGAUAUCUGUAAAACAACACUUUUUUUGCUUUGAGCUGUCCUAAAUUCUGAUGUCAGCUUUAUUUAAAUGUCAUAUCACUUUGGUGAGGCAUUAUUUAGUCAGUUCCAAGCAGGUUACUUUACAUAGAAUUUACUUACAUAAUGUAUUAUAACUGACUGGACUUAAUCUGUGAAGGAGGACCAAACAGCUCAUUAAAACAUCCGUCUCAGGCCUUUGAAAAGUCCUGGGUUCUAAUCCUGAUCUGGCUGGUGACAUUUUCCCCUGCUUGUUUAACUAGCCUAGACAUGUAAACAGUUGGAGAGAAAACUUUAUCUAAGAGGAUAUUAGGGACAUGUGUGCACAUUACGUUUAUGUGAAAUAAUAUUUCAUGUAAUUACUGCUUGUUGUCAAGUGUUUUUGUAUAAUUGUUGUUAAUAAGAUGAAAAUAUUAAAUAUUUUUAAGUAUAUUGUGUAAAGAAAAAGUUUUCAAUGUUUAUCAUUCAUCUCCAUCUUAACCAUUCUGUAAUGUCCCUAUUAGAGUUGAUUUGAGUGUUCGUAUCAAAUCUGUUAGCUUUGUGUCCAGAAUUUAUCAUACUUUUAUCUGUGUAAAUAUUGAAUAAAUAUUAAAAAAAAAA